UGAGAUAUGUAUUCGGAUUCU
RNAcentral lists this non-coding RNA (21 nucleotides) under Caenorhabditis elegans. Lineage: Eukaryota; Metazoa; Nematoda; Chromadorea; Rhabditida; Rhabditidae. The record is from RNAcentral.